ACCUCAGUAGUGUAAUGGAUCAGCACAGCAGAUCGGAUAUCUGAAAAUGCGGGUUCGAGAACCGUCUGGGGUU
RNAcentral lists this transfer RNA (73 nucleotides) under Dictyocaulus viviparus (bovine lungworm). It matches the Rfam family "tRNA". From Rfam's summary of the family: Transfer RNA (tRNA) molecules are approximately 80 nucleotides in length. Their secondary structure includes four short double-helical elements and three loops (D, anti-codon, and T loops). Further hydrogen bonds mediate the characteristic L-shaped molecular structure. tRNAs have two regions of fundamental functional importance: the anti-codon, which is responsible for specific mRNA codon recognition, and the 3' end, to which the tRNAs corresponding amino acid is attached (by aminoacyl-tRNA synthetases). tRNAs cope with the degeneracy of the genetic code in two manners: having more than one tRNA (with a specific anti-codon) for a particular amino acid; and 'wobble' base-pairing, i.e. permitting non-standard base-pairing at the 3rd anti-codon position. Lineage: Eukaryota; Metazoa; Nematoda; Chromadorea; Rhabditida; Metastrongylidae. The record is from Rfam by way of RNAcentral.